RNAcentral lists this unclassified non-coding RNA (269 nucleotides) under Hevea brasiliensis (rubber tree). The record is from RNAcentral. Lineage: Eukaryota; Viridiplantae; Streptophyta; Magnoliopsida; Malpighiales; Euphorbiaceae.
CAAUUAAAUUAGAUUGGUUUGGGUACUUCAAAUUUGGGGUGUGGGACAAGGGAGGAUUUAGGGAACAUUGGACAACUGCUCCAUUGUGCAGCUCAUCAAUGAAUCAACAAGAAAUUAAUUAUUGACAUUUCUACCCCUUUACCUUUCUAGUUGGAUUCUAUUCAAAGAGUUGAAUCUAUUCUAUUAGUUAUGAAGAGAUGCAUAAACUUACUUAAUUGUAUUGGCAAGCAAAGCGGAACACUUCCACAAAAUUGUUGGAUUGAUAAAUG